Long non-coding RNA from Lytechinus pictus (painted urchin), 334 nucleotides. RefSeq lists it as uncharacterized. The transcript is spliced from 3 exons. The record is from RefSeq and is a predicted model, not a curated record. NCBI's taxonomy places the organism in Eukaryota, Metazoa, Echinodermata, Echinoidea, Temnopleuroida, Toxopneustidae.
GAUCAGAAAGGCCAACUUUCUUCAACGAUGUUUCAUCCAUAUUUUGCUGACAUGUACAUGCAUGGUUCUUGCGGAUUAUAUAGAUAAUGACGUCUCUUGCCCUAAUAUGACGAUCUCUUGUCCUACAAUUAAAGCACCAGGUUCUGAUGAUGUCAUCCAACUGGUGCAGAAGAGGGUACCACGUGAUCAUAUGGCAAUCCGUCGACAGAUGAAAGGAAUUGAUCUGUAUAUUGUAUGCUCCAUACCAGCUUGCUUGUCUAACCCUUGUCUACACGGAGGUACCUGUAAUGAGACCAUUGAUGGAUAUGAGUGUCACUGCCUCUUCAGCUUUACU